AACGCGAAGAACCUUACCCAGGCUUGACAUCCUAGGAACCUGCUGGAAACAGCGGGGUGCCCUCGGGAGCCUAGUGACAGGCGCUGCAUGGCCGUCGUCAGCUCGUGUCGUGAGAUGUUGGGUUAAGUCCCGCAACGAGCGCAACCCUUAUCGUAUGUUGUAUUUUUCAUGCGAGACUGCCCGAGGCAAUCGGGAGGAAGGCGGGGAUGAGGUCAGGUCAGCAUGGCCCUUACGCCUGGGGCUACACACGUCAUACAAUGGCCGGUACAAAGCGCCGCGAAACCGCGAGGUGGAGCUAAUCGCACCAAAACCGGUCCCAGUUCGGAUUGCAGGCUGCAACUCGCCUGCAUGAAGUCGGAAUCGCUAGUAAACGUGGGUCAGCAUACUACGUUGAAUACGUUCCCGGGCCUUGUACACACCGCUACAGU
This 428-nucleotide ribosomal RNA is filed under the name uncultured bacterium. RNAcentral describes it as "bacterial SSU rRNA". It matches the Rfam family "Bacterial small subunit ribosomal RNA", at positions 958 to 1401 of the family's 1533-position model. The record is from RNAcentral.